GCACAUGCUGUGAGCUCGAUGAGUAGGGCGGGACACGUGGUAUCCUGUCUGAAUAUGGGGGGACCAUCCUCCAAGGCUAAAUACUCCUGACUGACCGAUAGUGAACCAGUACCGUGAGGGAAAGGCGAAAAGAACCCCGGCGAGGGGAGUGAAAAAGAACCUGAAACCGUGUACGUACAAGCAGUGGGAGCACAGAGCAAUCUGUGUGACUGCGUACCUUUUGUAUAAUGGGUCAGCGACUUAUAUUCUGUAGCAAGGUUAACCGAAUAGGGGAGCCGAAGGGAAACCGAGUCUUAACUGGGCGUUAAGUUGCAGGGUAUAGACCCGAAACCCGGUGAUCUAGCCAUGGGCAGGUUGAAGGUUGGGUAACACUAACUGGAGGACCGAACCGACUAAUGUUGAAAAAUUAGCGGAUGACUUGUGGCUGGGGGUGAAAGGCCAAUCAAACCGGGAGAUAGCUGGUUCUCCCCGAAAGCUAUUUAGGUAGCGCCUCGUGAAUUCAUCUCCGGGGGUAGAGCACUGUUUCGGCAAGGGGGUCAUCCCGACUUACCAACCCGAUGCAAACUGCGAAUACCGGAGAAUGUUAUCACGGGAGACACACGGCGGGUGCUAACGUCCGUCGUGAAGAGGGAAACAACCCAGACCGCCAGCUAAGGUCCCAAAGUCAUGGUUAAGUGGGAAACGAUGUGGGAAGGCCCAGACAGCCAGGAUGUUGGCUUAGAAGCAGCCAUCAUUUAAAGAAAGCGUAAUAGCUCACUGGUCGAGUCGGCCUGCGCGGAAGAUGUAACGGGGCUAAACCAUG
RNAcentral lists this ribosomal RNA (802 nucleotides) under Escherichia coli. Its description in RNAcentral is "partial 23S ribosomal RNA". It matches the Rfam family "Bacterial large subunit ribosomal RNA", at positions 390 to 1191 of the family's 2925-position model. The record is from RNAcentral. Lineage: Bacteria; Pseudomonadati; Pseudomonadota; Gammaproteobacteria; Enterobacterales; Enterobacteriaceae.